CCUACGGGAUGCAGCAGUGAGGAAUUUUGCGCAAUGGGGGAAACCCUGACGCAGCAACGCCGCGUGAGUGAUGAAGGCUUUCGGGUCGUAAAGCUCUGUCAAGUGGGAAGAAACCACUUGGUGUUAAUACCACCAGGUGCUGACGGUACCACUGAAGGAAGCACCGGCUAACUCCGUGCCAGCAGCCGCGGUAAUACGGGGGGUGCAAGCGUUAUUCGGAAUUACUGGGCGUAAAGAGCGCGUAGGCGGUCUCUUAAGUCGGGUGUGAAAGCCCGGGGCUCAACCCCGGAAGUGCACUUGAAACUAAGGGACUUGAGUAUGGGAGAGGGAAGUGGAAUUCCUGGUGUAGCGGUGAAAUGCGUAGAUAUCAGGAGGAACACCGGUGGCGAAGGCGACUUCCUGGACCAAUACUGACGCUGAGGCGCGAAGGCGUGGGGAGCAAACAGGAUUAGAUACCCGUGUAGUC
This 466-nucleotide ribosomal RNA is filed under the name uncultured bacterium. Its description in RNAcentral is "bacterial SSU rRNA". It matches the Rfam family "Bacterial small subunit ribosomal RNA", at positions 338 to 795 of the family's 1533-position model. The record is from RNAcentral.